AGCCUCACUGAAAAUUAAUUUUUCAUGUCAUGAUCAGCUUGAGUUUGUGCUUUUCCGCCCUAGACGUCUCUCCUCCCAAGGCAGUCUCUGCCCACAUUCAUGUCAUGCAGUGGCUGGCACAGAGACUAAGUAUUCAAACACAAUGUGUAUUUGUUCCCUCUAGGUUAGACGUGGCCACGGCUCUGAACUGUCAGCACUGUGACUGCCCACAUAAGAUCCUAGUGAGAUCUGCCUAAUGGCAGUUUCUUGUGGAGGCAGUAGGCAGGCUCAAGGGGAGGAAGCUCAUACAGCUUGCACAAGGUCCUCAGAAGGUUCUAGUGCUCCUUGUGGUAACAACAAAGGUAAAUGGGUGCUCAGUUUCCGUGAGGGUUCAGUGCUAUCAUGGAAGGCCCCUGUGGGUAGACCCUGAUUCUCACAGAAGCAGCAUAAAGAAAUGACUGCUGAAGCACUCAGCAAUUACAUCUCCACACACAGAAGACAGAACACCAAGAAAACAUGUCUUCAGGCAAAGUAAGAAGUUACCCAAGGUAGACCAAUCACCUUCAAAAUAAAAAUCCUUAUAAAUACAAAGUACUUCACUUAAAGACACACUUGGAAUGUGAGGACCAGGUGACAACAUCCAUUCAGCCAGACUUCAUCAACAUACCUGAGGAGGCAAACCAGACACACUGCCAUCCUGAGGACAGUGAUUCUACCUCAGAGAAACCAUCUCUGUUCAUUUCUGCAGUUUUACAUGCCCUCUUCCUUCCAAUGCUAGGAUCCCGGAACAUGUAACACCAUUCUGCCCUAGCUCUCUCAUUUGAUAUUAUUAUACACAUUCAUUAUCCUGCCCCAAUCCUGAGUGUCUCCUCCCAUCUCUGGCUCAUAUACAACUAGACCUUGGGGACUUGAAAGAGGGGCUGGAAACUCUAGGUCUUGAAAUCACUCUUAUAAUCUCACCUACGAGUAAAGAGGUUCCCAUGCAGCAAGAGCUGUGCUGCACAACCCAGAGUUGCCCUGGGCGUCCGUCAAUCAACCUCUCACACUGAGAAAGGCAACUGAUCGAGCCAAAGGAGUGGGAAGCUAAGAGGUUGGUUAGUAGGAGUCUGCAGAGUGUCGGCAAGGCACGAUCAGGAACAGCCCUUACCUGUGUGUGCCCUUUGCGGUGCUCACCGACCGCUUGCCUGAACAUUUUUCUCGGAACACAAGAAAACUAACAGUGUGUCAGUGUGGUAGAAUCUUCUAGAUGAAGAGCUACAUACGCAUACUGGGUGCCUAUCCUGCAGGACUAGGGCCCUCUGGGGUCCAUUUGUUGUUUGUGUUUCAGGUGAAACCAGUGACCUGGCAGAUGGAGCUGUUCAAGGUCUUAACUUGUAAAUGUCAGGGUUAUGGCUCUUACCAAAUCUAUUGUGUUCAUGGCCGCUUAUUUGCCAGAACUUUCCAAACCACAGGAGUCUUUCUUUAACUAUCACAUGCUUGGAUGACAAGGAGCCAGCUCCGUGGGCAGGGAAGGCCAGAUAACAUUAUCAAUGCUGUUAUUUUAAAGGCUGUUCUGAGGAAGGACCUGGGUGUUUUUACAAGAGUCUGGCAGACAUUAGCACUUGCAUUUCUGAGUCGUUUCAGAGUUUGUGCCAAAUGACGUAAUGCCCAAAUGCCUGGCACAACCUUUAUUAUAGGAGGCAGAAGUCAAGUGAAUGGGAAGACAGGAAACAUGGUUGAAGGAAGAUUGGCACAAAAAUCUAAAUCACUGGAUAAAGAACCAUUUCUUUUCAGACCUUCUUCCUUCACAUUCCCUAUUUUCUACCACAGUGAUGAUCAAAACAUUGUCUGAGUUCAAAGGAUGUGGCAAUGUCAGAAUGUCAAGCCCUAGAGCCUGAUAUGGUAGCACACGUUUAUAGCUCUCACUUCCUUGGGGUACUGAGAACAGAUGUAACAACAGGUGUUGAGUCAGGUGUAACAACAGGUGUUGAGUCAGGUGUAACAACAGGUGUUCAGUCAGGUGUAACAACAGGUGUUGAGACAGGCAACAGGUGUUGACUCCGGUGCAACAACUUCUAAGCAGAACAUUGAGGCCAGACCAGGACAACUUAGCAUGGACAUGUCUCAAAACACACAGACACAGAGAGACACACAGACACACAGACACAGAGACACACAGACACACAGACACACACACAAUCUGAGGAUAUAGAGGGGGCAGAGGAAGGACAAGGAUUCAAACUUACCUUCCUU
Long non-coding RNA from Mus musculus (house mouse), 2211 nucleotides. RefSeq annotates it as predicted gene, 54133. Lineage: Eukaryota; Metazoa; Chordata; Mammalia; Rodentia; Muridae. The record is from RefSeq and is a predicted model, not a curated record. The transcript has 4 exons.